CUGAAUAUGAUCGAGCACAGAGCGGGCAGAAUUGAGCGAAAUUCCGCGCUCGGCGGAAGGGCCGCCGCAGAUGAGUCCGACUCUCAAAACCCUCCUACCUUCAUCACCGGCGGUGCGAUCACGGGCCACCUCCGGCUCCGCCGUUGUGGCAGAAGCUUUCACCACCCCGACGCCGCAAAAACGGCGUUCGCAGUUCAAACUCCGUUUCGAGGAGGAGGCGGUGGGGUUUGACGGAAAAUUCAGAAACCCGUGACGGCGAGUAGAGAAGGGAGGCAGCGAGCCCUUGUUAUUGCGGAAGAGGGUUGGGUUCAAA
Molecule: long non-coding RNA, 313 nt
Filed under: Erythranthe guttata (spotted monkey flower)
Lineage: Eukaryota; Viridiplantae; Streptophyta; Magnoliopsida; Lamiales; Phrymaceae
Description: long non-coding RNA (EGUT_LNC002350)
Source: RNAcentral